AAGCAAAGACGGCCUAAUCUCGGCGGAUGCCGGGAGCGGGGGACCCGAUCUUUUGGGGCUAAUCCCGACGAUAGGCGUCGGGAGGGAUGAGUCAGACGCAUUCCCUGCCAUCCUGCCCGUCAGCUAACCCCGUCGGCUAAUGCAGGGAAGUCUC
RNAcentral lists this small RNA (154 nucleotides) under Hydrogenibacillus schlegelii. RNAcentral's name for it is "c-di-AMP sequence". It matches the Rfam family "c-di-AMP riboswitch aptamer (ydaO/yuaA leader)". Rfam says of the family: This family represents a conserved RNA structure found upstream of the ydaO and yuaA genes in Bacillus subtilis and related genes in other bacteria. The record is from Rfam by way of RNAcentral. Lineage: Bacteria; Bacillati; Bacillota; Bacilli; Thermicanales; Thermicanaceae.